Molecule: ribosomal RNA, 1362 nt
Filed under: Enterococcus durans
Lineage: Bacteria; Bacillati; Bacillota; Bacilli; Lactobacillales; Enterococcaceae
Description: bacterial SSU rRNA
Rfam family: Bacterial small subunit ribosomal RNA
Source: RNAcentral
UUCCACCGGAGCUUGCUCCACCGGAAAAAGAAGAGUGGCGAACGGGUGAGUAACACGUGGGUAACCUGCCCAUCAGAAGGGGAUAACACUUGGAAACAGGUGCUAAUACCGUAUAACAAUCGAAACCGCAUGGUUUUGAUUUGAAAGGCGCUUUCGGGUGUCGCUGAUGGAUGGACCCGCGGUGCAUUAGCUAGUUGGUGAGGUAACGGCUCACCAAGGCCACGAUGCAUAGCCGACCUGAGAGGGUGAUCGGCCACAUUGGGACUGAGACACGGCCCAAACUCCUACGGGAGGCAGCAGUAGGGAAUCUUCGGCAAUGGACGAAAGUCUGACCGAGCAACGCCGCGUGAGUGAAGAAGGUUUUCGGAUCGUAAAACUCUGUUGUUAGAGAAGAACAAGGAUGAGAGUAACUGUUCAUCCCUUGACGGUAUCUAACCAGAAAGCCACGGCUAACUACGUGCCAGCAGCCGCGGUAAUACGUAGGUGGCAAGCGUUGUCCGGAUUUAUUGGGCGUAAAGCGAGCGCAGGCGGUUUCUUAAGUCUGAUGUGAAAGCCCCCGGCUCAACCGGGGAGGGUCAUUGGAAACUGGGAGACUUGAGUGCAGAAGAGGAGAGUGGAAUUCCAUGUGUAGCGGUGAAUGCGUAGAUAUAUGGAGGAACACCAGUGGCGAAGGCGGCUCUCUGGUCUGUAACUGACGCUGAGGCUCGAAAGCGUGGGGAGCAAACAGGAUUAGAUACCCUGGUAGUCCACGCCGUAAACGAUGAGUGCUAAGUGUUGGAGGGUUUCCGCCCUUCAGUGCUGCAGCUAACGCAUUAAGCACUCCGCCUGGGGAGUACGACCGCAAGGUUGAAACUCAAAGGAAUUGACGGGGGCCCGCACAAGCGGUGGAGCAUGUGGUUUAAUUCGAAGCAACGCGAAGAACCUUACCAGGUCUUGACAUCCUUUGACCACUCUAGAGAUAGAGCUUCCCCUUCGGGGGCAAAGUGACAGGUGGUGCAUGGUUGUCGUCAGCUCGUGUCGUGAGAUGUUGGGUUAAGUCCCGCAACGAGCGCAACCCUUAUUGUUAGUUGCCAUCAUUUAGUUGGGCACUCUAGCAAGACUGCCGGUGACAAACCGGAGGAAGGUGGGGAUGACGUCAAAUCAUCAUGCCCCUUAUGACCUGGGCUACACACGUGCUACAAUGGGAAGUACAACGAGUCGCGAAGUCGCGAGGCUAAGCUAAUCUCUUAAAGCUUCUCUCAGUUCGGAUUGUAGGCUGCAACUCGCCUACAUGAAGCCGGAAUCGCUAGUAAUCGCGGAUCAGCACGCCGCGGUGAAUACGUUCCCGGGCCUUGUACACACCGCCCGUCACACCACGAGAGU